CUUAAGUACAAUCAUAAGUUCUCGCUCUCAACUUUAAUCGUUCGUCUUAUUUAAUUUUUUUUAAAAUUAGUGUUUUUAUUAUUAUGAGAUGAUAAAACAUGAAUAGCACUUUAUACGUAACUUAUGGUUUUAAUUUUUUAAAAAAAAUUUAAAUAAAACGGACUGUCAAGUUAUGUACGGAAAAUUAUAGCUGCACUUAGA
MicroRNA precursor from Oryza sativa Indica Group (long-grained rice), 201 nucleotides. It matches the Rfam family "MIR812 microRNA precursor family". Lineage: Eukaryota; Viridiplantae; Streptophyta; Magnoliopsida; Poales; Poaceae. The record is from Rfam.